Molecule: ribosomal RNA, 450 nt
Filed under: uncultured bacterium
Lineage: Bacteria
Description: partial 16S ribosomal RNA
Rfam family: Bacterial small subunit ribosomal RNA
Source: RNAcentral
GUGGGGAAUAUUGGACAAUGGGCGAAAGCCUGAUCCAGCAAUGCCGCGUGCAGGAAGAAGGCCUUCGGGUUGUAAACUGCUUUUGUACGGAACGAAACGGUCCUGGUUAAUACCUGGGGCUAAUGACGGUACCGUAAGAAUAAGCACCGGCUAACUACGUGCCAGCAGCCGCGGUAAUACGUAGGGUGCGAGCGUUAAUCGGAAUUACUGGGCGUAAAGCGUGCGCAGGCGGUGCUGUAAGACAGGCGUGAAAUCCCCGGGCUCAACCUGGGAAUUGCGCUUGUGACUGCAGUGCUGGAGUACGGCAGAGGGGGAUGGAAUUCCGCGUGUAGCAGUGAAAUGCGUAGAUAUGCGGAGGAACACCGAUGGCGAAGGCAGUCCCCUGGGCCUGUACUGACGCUCAUGCACGAAAGCGUGGGGAGCAAACAGGAUUAGAUACCCGAGUAGUCC